GACGAACGCUGGCGGCGUGCUUAACACAUGCAAGUCGUACGGUAAGGCCCUUUCGGGGGUACACGAGUGGCGAACGGGUGAGUAACACGUGAGUAACCUGCCCACAACUUUGGGAUAACGCUAGGAAACUGGUGCUAAUACUGGAUAUGUGCUCCUGCUGCAUGGUGGGGCUUGGAAAGCUCCGGCGGUUGUGGAUGGACUCGCGGCCUAUCAGCUUGUUGGUGGGGUAGUGGCCUACCAAGGCGGCGACGGGUAGCCGGCCUGAGAGGGUGACCGGCCACAUUGGGACUGAGAUACGGCCCAGACUCCUACGGGAGGCAGCAGUGGGGAAUAUUGCACAAUGGGCGCAAGCCUGAUGCAGCAACGCCGCGUGCGGGAUGACGGCCUUCGGGUUGUAAACCGCUUUCAGCAGGGACGAAGCUUUUUGUGACGGUACCUGCAGAAGAAGCACCGGCUAACUACGUG
Molecule: ribosomal RNA, 465 nt
Filed under: uncultured bacterium
Lineage: Bacteria
Description: partial 16S ribosomal RNA
Rfam family: Bacterial small subunit ribosomal RNA
Source: RNAcentral